RNAcentral lists this ribosomal RNA (406 nucleotides) under uncultured bacterium. RNAcentral's name for it is "partial 16S ribosomal RNA". It matches the Rfam family "Bacterial small subunit ribosomal RNA", at positions 28 to 526 of the family's 1533-position model. The record is from RNAcentral.
GAUGAACGCUCGCUACAGGCUUAACACAUGCAAGUCGAGGGACCGGCGCACGGGUGAGUAACACGUAUCCAACCUUCCCUUUACUCGGGGAUAGCCUUUCGAAAGACAGAUUAAUACCCGAUAUAAAGGAUUGGGAUGCGUUCCAUUAGGUUGUUGGUGAGUUAACGGCUCACCAAGACUUCGAUGGAUAGGGGUUCUGAGAGGAAGGUCCCCAAGAUUGGAACUGAGACACGGUCCAAACGCCUACGGGAGGAAGAAGUGAGGAAUAUUGGUAAAUGGGCGCUAGCCUGAACCAGCCAAGUAGCGUGAAGGAUGAAGGCUGAUGGGUAGUAAACUUCUGAUAUAUAAGAAUAUGUAUUAGAUGAAUAAGGAUCGGCUAACUACGUGCCAGCCGCCGCGGUAAUUC